AUACGGAAGGUCCGGGCGUUAUCCGGAUUUAUUGGGUUUAAAGGGAGCGCAGGCGGAGAUGCAAGCGUGACGUCAAAUUUCGGGGCUCAACCCCGUCUCGCGUCGCGAACUGCGUCCCUUGGUUGCGGGAAGGGGAGGCGGAACUCGUGGUGUAGCGGUGAAAUGCAUAGAUAUCACGAAGAACUCCGAUCGCGAAGGCAGCCUUCCGGCCCGUCAACGACGCUCAUGCUCGAAGGUGCGGGUAUCAAACAGGAUUAGAUACCCUGGUAGUCCGCACAGUAAACGAUGGACACCCGCGGUUUGGCCUGUAUGGCUGAGCCGCCAAGCGAAAGCGUUAAGUGUCCCACCUGGGGAGUACGCCGGCAACGGUGAAACUUAAAGGAAUUGGCGGGG
Molecule: ribosomal RNA, 393 nt
Filed under: uncultured bacterium
Lineage: Bacteria
Description: partial 16S ribosomal RNA
Rfam family: Bacterial small subunit ribosomal RNA
Source: RNAcentral